Molecule: unclassified non-coding RNA, 153 nt
Filed under: soil metagenome
Description: partial internal transcribed spacer 1
Source: RNAcentral
UAAAAGGAUACCUUCGGGUAUACCCCAUCCGUGUCUACAUACUCUUGUUUGCUUUGGCAGGCCGUGGUCUUCCACUGUGGGCUCUGCCUGCAUGUGCCUGCCAGAGGACCAAACUCUGAAUGUUAGUGAUGUCUGAGUACUAUAUAAUAGUUA